This 73-nucleotide transfer RNA is filed under the name Camelus bactrianus (Bactrian camel). It matches the Rfam family "tRNA". From Rfam's summary of the family: Transfer RNA (tRNA) molecules are approximately 80 nucleotides in length. Their secondary structure includes four short double-helical elements and three loops (D, anti-codon, and T loops). Further hydrogen bonds mediate the characteristic L-shaped molecular structure. tRNAs have two regions of fundamental functional importance: the anti-codon, which is responsible for specific mRNA codon recognition, and the 3' end, to which the tRNAs corresponding amino acid is attached (by aminoacyl-tRNA synthetases). tRNAs cope with the degeneracy of the genetic code in two manners: having more than one tRNA (with a specific anti-codon) for a particular amino acid; and 'wobble' base-pairing, i.e. permitting non-standard base-pairing at the 3rd anti-codon position. RNAcentral also lists the same sequence under 1 other name. The record is from Rfam by way of RNAcentral. Lineage: Eukaryota; Metazoa; Chordata; Mammalia; Artiodactyla; Camelidae.
GAGGGUAUAGCUCAAGUGGUAGAGCACAUGCUUAGCGUGCAGAAGGUCCUGGGUUCAAUCCCCAGUACCUCCU